GCGAUCAUACCAACACUAAUGCACCGGAUCCCAUCAGAACUCCGAAGUUAAGCUUGCUUGGGCGAGGGCAGUACUAGGAUGGGUGUCCCCUUGGGAAAAUCCUCGUGUUGCACCU
This 115-nucleotide ribosomal RNA is filed under the name Zingiber officinale. Lineage: Eukaryota; Viridiplantae; Streptophyta; Magnoliopsida; Zingiberales; Zingiberaceae. The record is from RNAcentral.